UUCUUGGAGAGUUUGAUCCUGGCUCAGGACGAACGCUGGCGGCGUGCCUAAUACAUGCAAGUCGAGCGAAUCAAUAGGAGCUUGCUCCUGUUGGUUAGCGGCGGACGGGUGAGUAACACGUGGGCAACCUGCCUGUAAGACUGGGAUAACACCGGGAAACCGGUGCUAAUACCGGAUAAUCCUUUUCCUCUCAUGAGGAAAAGCUGAAAGUAG
RNAcentral lists this ribosomal RNA (213 nucleotides) under Bacillus sp. ISL-77. RNAcentral's name for it is "partial 16S ribosomal RNA". It matches the Rfam family "Bacterial small subunit ribosomal RNA", at positions 1 to 210 of the family's 1533-position model. The record is from RNAcentral. Lineage: Bacteria; Bacillati; Bacillota; Bacilli; Caryophanales; Bacillaceae.